UACGUAGGGACCAAGCGUUGUUCGGAUUUACUGGGCGUAAAGGGCGCGUAGGCGGCUAUUCAAGUCAGUUGUGAAAUCUCCGAGCUUAACUCGGAACGGUCAACUGAUACUGUUUUGCUAGAGUGCAGAAAGGGCAACCGGAAUUCUUGGUGUAGCGGUGAAAUGCGUAGAUAUCAAGAGGAACACCUGAGGCGAAGGCGGGUUGCUAGGCUGACACUGACGCUGAGGCGCGAAAGCCAGGGGAGCGAACGGG
This 253-nucleotide ribosomal RNA is filed under the name uncultured bacterium. Its description in RNAcentral is "partial 16S ribosomal RNA". It matches the Rfam family "Bacterial small subunit ribosomal RNA", at positions 524 to 776 of the family's 1533-position model. The record is from RNAcentral.